AACGAACGCUGGCGGCAUGCCUAACACAUGCAAGUCGAACGAGACCUUCGGGUCUAGUGGCGCACGGGUGCGUAACGCGUGGGAACCUGCCUUUAGGUUCGGAAUAACUCAGAGAAAUUUGAGCUAAUACCGGAUGAUGUCUUCGGACCAAAGAUUUAUCGCCUUUAGAUGGGCCCGCGUUGGAUUAGCUAGUUGGUGGGGUAAAGGCCUACCAAGGCGACGAUCCAUAGCUGGUCGGAGAGGAUGAUCAGCCACACUGGGACUGAGACACGGCCCAGACUCCUACGGGAGGCAGCAGUGGGGAAUAUUGGACAAUGGGCGAAAGCCUGAUCCAGCAAUGCCGCGUGAGUGAUGAAGGCCUUAGGGUUGUAAAGCUCUUUUACCCGAGAUGAUAAUGACAGUAUCGGGAGAAUAAGCUCCGGCUAACUCCGUG
RNAcentral lists this ribosomal RNA (433 nucleotides) under uncultured bacterium. RNAcentral describes it as "partial 16S ribosomal RNA". It matches the Rfam family "Bacterial small subunit ribosomal RNA", at positions 29 to 507 of the family's 1533-position model. The record is from RNAcentral.